Molecule: non-coding RNA, 163 nt
Filed under: bovine gut metagenome
Source: RNAcentral
AAAGAUUUGCGGUACCGAGAGAGAUCGAGGUUCAAUAGGGAAGAAGGUCAGAUACCUCACAGCCCCCGCUACUGUAUUUCGCUUUUCGCCGUUCACUGCCGACGCGGGAAGGACGGCGUUAUUUAAACGGGCGAAAAUAAGUCAGGAGACCUGCCGCAACAUC